Molecule: non-coding RNA, 71 nt
Organism: Cordylochernes scorpioides
Lineage: Eukaryota; Metazoa; Arthropoda; Arachnida; Pseudoscorpiones; Chernetidae
Source: the annotation of a GenBank genome assembly
UCCAGGGUAGCCUAGGACAUGGCAUCUGGCCGGUAAGCGGAACACUGUGGGUUCGAUUCCCAUCCCUGGAC